UACGUAGGGGGCAAGCGUUGUCCGGAUUUAUUGGGCGUAAAGAGCGUGUAGGCGGCCAAGCAGGUCCGCUGUGAAAACUCGAGGCUCAACCUCGAGACGUCGGUGGAAACCGUUUGGCUAGAGUCCGGAAGAGGAGAGUGGAAUUCCCGGUGUAGCGGUGAAAUGCGCAGAUAUCAGGAGGAACACCGGUGGCGAAGGCGGGUCUCUGGGCCGAUAUUGACGCUGGAGGAGCGAAAGCGUGGGGAGCGAACAGG
This 254-nucleotide ribosomal RNA is filed under the name uncultured bacterium. RNAcentral describes it as "partial 16S ribosomal RNA". It matches the Rfam family "Bacterial small subunit ribosomal RNA", at positions 524 to 776 of the family's 1533-position model. The record is from RNAcentral.